This is a long non-coding RNA of Sarcophilus harrisii (Tasmanian devil), 1682 nucleotides long. RefSeq lists it as uncharacterized. The transcript is spliced from 3 exons. NCBI's taxonomy places the organism in Eukaryota, Metazoa, Chordata, Mammalia, Dasyuromorphia, Dasyuridae. The record is from RefSeq and is a predicted model, not a curated record.
UAUUAACUCUGAUUUAAUGAGAUUUAAGGGGGGAGGAAUAAAUGGGAUCCUAGUAUCAGAUCUCUCUCCUCUUCUCCCUCUUCUGUCCUUCCCCACCCCCGGGGCCCCUUCUUCCCCGGCCCCCAUCCAUAAGCAAGGGCCCAGCCAUCUCCUGACAGUGUUGUGCCAGAAUCUGGCUGCCUAGCAACCAAACCCAGCCUGUCACCAUGGCAAAGAGCUGAGCAAGUGAAAGACAAGAGGUAAGGAUAUUGUGGAUCAGAGAGAUGAAGUGAUUGAUCCAGUCACAGAUUCACAGAAUUUGAGACUGAAGGAAGCUCCAGGCCAACUCAUACAUAAGAGGAAUCCCUGUUAUAAUAUAACUGACAAGUGGUCAUCUAUCCUUUGCCUGGGGUCCAACAAGAUCCUGCUGCCUUGAAGACCAAACAACUCUGGCAAAGAGCACAGAGACUGAACAUUGAACCAACACACAAAGUGUGGAGAAAAGAAAAGUAUGGAGAAAAGAACUCUGAUUUUUACCAAGCAGAGGAAAGUCAAGGGAAUUUAAGGGAGAGGAACUAUGAGAGGAUGGGGGAAGGGCGGGAUCUUCUGAUUGUUACAAUUAUCUCCCAGACAUGAGACCUUACAAUUCAGUUUAAGCAAGGGCUCUUGGCAAGGUGAAUUAUUGAUAGGGGAGGCUCCAGAGAUGAGACUGAGAUCUUUUUUGUUGUUGUUAAUUAUAAUCCGGAUAAGAAUGUUGAAUUAAUGAUGAGCCUGCCACACACCUGUGAAAUUUAACAGCUCAAUCUCCCCCAACAAAUGGUCUCUUUUUAGACAGCCUCUCCCGGAGUUUGGCUCAGGGCCCUCCUCUCUUGAUUAAAAAAAAAAAAAAAAAAGCCAAGCAAACAACUCUGCCACCGCUAAAGCCAAGAUAUGUUACAGAUAGUGAGACAAGACUGGAACCAUUUUGGGGGAGUAGAGUAGGGGAGAUGUUGGUUGUGUUUGAGAAGCAGCCAGGGAAACACCCCCAAUUCCAAAGUUUCAUGUAAGCCAUGAUAGGGACCCAAAGCAAUCCAGCAAGUUAAAAACUAUGAAGUGUGGGAAAAAAAUUAUUAGCUCUCAAGUCAGCCCCCUUCUUUACUUCUGCAGAGUUGGAGAGCUGUUUUAAGAUGGUUUCUGAGCAAAGUCCCAUGGGGGACUGAAAUGCGGAAGUCUCCACCUUGGUCCUGCUAAGAGCUAGAAUGACAUCCACCUUCCAGUUAAUCCUUCUGGGGCAUGGAUUUAGUUCAUAAAGGCAGAGGGGGCCACCAACUUUGACCCUCAUCUAUUCCCAGAAGACACUGGGCCACAAUCCCACUAGGGGACCACAGCAUCAUCACAGUUACAUCAGACUACCCUACCUACCGCCUGGAGGAUACUCUUAUAAGAUGGGAGAAACCAUAACUAUCUCGGGUAAUUUACCUAAAGGUGCCAGGCCACCCCUUAUCUGCCAUCCAGCCCAGCAUCUUCAGGAGGGGCAAUCUCCCGUAUCUCAAAGGCAAGAAACACCUGCCCACUCAUAGCCAGAGAAACAGACAGGAGGGACAGACAGACGUAGCUUCUUCCUGAGUGUAAGGAAUCACAGAACCGAGGAACUUGGAGGGGACUUUAACGCUCAGUCUGGAACACAAGGGGCUAUUUCCCCCAAAUUAAAAAGUACCUCCCUC